UACGGUGGGGGCAAGCGUUGUUCGGAAUUACUGGGCGUAAAGGGUGCGUAGGCGGGUCUUUAAGUCAGGGGUGAAAUCCUGGAGCUCAACUCCAGAACUGCCUUUGAUACUGAAGAUCUUGAGUCCGGGAGAGGUGAGUGGAACUGCGAGUGUAGAGGUGAAAUUCGUAGAUAUUCGCAAGAACACCAGUGGCGAAGGCGGCUCACUGGCCCGGUACUGACGCUGAGGCACGAAAGCGUGGGGAGCAAACAGG
RNAcentral lists this ribosomal RNA (253 nucleotides) under uncultured bacterium. RNAcentral describes it as "partial 16S ribosomal RNA". It matches the Rfam family "Bacterial small subunit ribosomal RNA", at positions 524 to 776 of the family's 1533-position model. The record is from RNAcentral.